UUUAGUUAAUUAUAAACAAACCAAGAUAGUAAAAGCUAUGUUCUCCAAACCUAAAGGAUUUGGCGGUAAUUUAGUCCAGUUAGAGGAACCUGUUUGGUAAACGAUAAACCACGAAAAAUCUUACCUAUUUUAAAAGUUUGUAUACCGUCAUUAUUAGAUAACUUUUAGUGAAAAAGUUAUUUUAAUAAAUUUAUUCUUAGUAUAUUAGAUCAAGGUGCAGCCUAUAAAUAGGUCUUAAUGGGUUACAAUAAAACUUAUUUAUAACGAAUAUAGAAUAUAAAUAUUCUAUUAAAGGAGGAUUUAAUAGUAAAAACUGGUUUAAUAUGCCAUUUUGAUAAAGGAUCUAAAUUGAGUACAUAUCGCCCGUCGCUUUCAUUUACACAGAUGAAAUAAGUCGUAACAUAG
Molecule: ribosomal RNA, 405 nt
Filed under: Lepidophthalmus manningi
Lineage: Eukaryota; Metazoa; Arthropoda; Malacostraca; Decapoda; Callianassidae
Description: partial 12S ribosomal RNA
Source: RNAcentral